GAUGAACGCUGGCGGCGUGCCUAAUACAUGCAAGUCGAGCGAACGGACGAGAAGCUUGCUUCUCUGAUGUUAGCGGCGGACGGGUGAGUAACACGUGGAUAACCUACCUAUAAGACUGGGAUAACUUCGGGAAACCGGAGCUAAUACCGGAUAAUAUUUUGAACCGCAUGGUUCAAAAGUGAAAGACGGUCUUGCUGUCACUUAUAGAUGGAUCCGCGCUGCAUUAGCUAGUUGGUAAGGUAACGGCUUACCAAGGCAACGAUGCAUAGCCGACCUGAGAGGGUGAUCGGCCACACGGGAACUGAGACACGGUCCAGACUCCUACGGGAGGCAGCAGUAGGGAAUCUUCCGCAAUAGGCGAAAGCCUGACGGAGCAACGCCGCGUGAGUGAUGAAGGUCUUCGGAUCGUAAAACUCUGUUAUUAGGGAAGAACAUAUGUGUAAGUAACUGUGCACAUCUUGACGGUACCUAAUCAGAAAGCCACGGCUAACUACGUG
This 497-nucleotide ribosomal RNA is filed under the name uncultured bacterium. Its description in RNAcentral is "partial 16S ribosomal RNA". It matches the Rfam family "Bacterial small subunit ribosomal RNA", at positions 28 to 507 of the family's 1533-position model. The record is from RNAcentral.